Molecule: long non-coding RNA, 784 nt
Organism: Lates calcarifer (barramundi perch)
Lineage: Eukaryota; Metazoa; Chordata; Actinopteri; Centropomidae
Exons: 4
Source: RefSeq, a predicted model, not a curated record
GGUGAAAGAGGCUGCGUGUACACAGAAAAACGUGACUGGCUUUGGCUGAAUGUAGCUGUAUCAACAGUGCUAUCAAAAUGUGCAGCUGUAUGCAUGUGUGGUGAGUGAAAAGCAGGAUAUAGAGAUCAACUGUGUGUAUUUCUCUGUCCGCGGCUGCGUCGCACCAUCUCCUGUCUGGCCCCGAUGCUGCCCAGUAUGGCCUCCUCCAGCUUGGCCUUCAUGUCUUUGGAUUUCUUAAAGGUCAGGCUGUUCAUUCGUUCAAACGCCUUCUUCCCCUGCAUGGUGAACACAACAUGGGCCUUGUAUCCAUGAGGCAGAGGGUGGGUGAAAGGACAGAGAGCACACAGCGGGGAAAGUUAUUUGCAGCGCAGCACAGCACCCAGCAAGCAAAGCAGCAGGAGACGCAGAGGUAGAGGAGAUCCAGCAGGCGGUUUAGCUGAGACACCGACAGGUCCGUGAACCACUUCUGUAACACCAGUUCGUCAGCGUUCUUCAGCACCCACAGUAGGCAGAUGAGCAGGCUGCGACUCGACUCGGCCGAGAAGCUCCCGUGCUGACGACUCGCCUGGAGAAAUGGACCAGGAGGUGUCAAGAGGAACAUGAGAGAGAAGAGAUAUGAUAAGAUACAACAGCGUCAGGGAUUUACCUGCGAGUUGAGCAAGAAGCUGCUUGGUCGGGACAUUGGAGAGGCAGUGGAGGUGCCUGCUAUUGCCAUGGCGACAGUCUGGCUGAUCAUGCUGUUACCCUCUCCCUCUGCCUCUUCCCCACUGCUGCCCACCGCUGC